Molecule: unclassified non-coding RNA, 403 nt
Filed under: uncultured Cortinarius
Lineage: Eukaryota; Fungi; Basidiomycota; Agaricomycetes; Agaricales; Cortinariaceae
Description: sequence contains ITS2
Rfam family: 5.8S ribosomal RNA (bases 1-154)
Source: RNAcentral
AGCUUUCGGCAAUGGAUCACUUGGCUCUCGCAUCGAUGAAGAACGCAGCGAAAUGCGAUAAGUAAUGUGAAUUGCAGAAUUCAGUCAAUCAUCGAAUCUUUGAACGCACCUUGCGCCCCUUGGUAUUCCGAGGAGCAUGCCUGUUUGAGUGUCAUUACUAUAUAUCAAACUUCUCUUGUUGAGUUGUUUGGAUGUGGGGGUUUGCUGGCCUCUUAAAAGGGGUUCCGCUCUCCUGAAAUGCAUUAGCAGCACAACCUGUUCAUUGGUGUGAUAAACUAUCUACGCUAUUGAAUGUGAAGGGCAGUUCAGCUUUCUAACAGUCCUUGGACAAAUUCAUCAUUAAUGUGACCUCAAAUCAGGUAGGACUACCCGCUGAAUUUAAGCAUAUCAAUAAGCGGAGGCU